CUGGACUUAGCUCAGUUUGGUAGAGCACAUGCUUUCGAUGCAUGGGAGCGUUGGUUCAAAUCCAGCAGUUCAGA
This 74-nucleotide transfer RNA is filed under the name Paenibacillus polymyxa SC2. It matches the Rfam family "tRNA". Rfam says of the family: Transfer RNA (tRNA) molecules are approximately 80 nucleotides in length. The record is from Rfam by way of RNAcentral. Lineage: Bacteria; Bacillati; Bacillota; Bacilli; Caryophanales; Paenibacillaceae.